UCCUAACUCUGGCGGCGUGCUUAACACAUGCAAGUCGAACGGAAAGGCCCUGCUUUUGUGGGGUGCUCGAGUGGCGAACGGGUGAGUAACACGUGAGUAACCUGCCCUUGACUUUGGGAUAACUUCAGGAAACUGGGGCUAAUACCGGAUAGGAGCUCCUGCUGCAUGGUGGGGGUUGGAAAGUUUCGGCGGUUGGGGAUGGACUCGCGGCUUAUCAGCGUGUUGGUGGGGUAGUGGCUUACCAAGGCUUUGACGGGUAGCCGGCCUGAGAGGGUGACCGGCCACAUUGGGACUGAGAUACGGCCCAGACUCCUACGGGAGGCAGCAGUGGGGAAUAUUGCACAAUGGGCGGAAGCCUGAUGCAGCAACGCCGCGUGCGGGAUGACGGCCUUCGGGUUGUAAACCGCUUUCGCCUGUGACGAAGCGUGAGUGACGGUAAUGGGUAAAGAAGCACCGGCUAACUACGUG
This 468-nucleotide ribosomal RNA is filed under the name uncultured bacterium. Its description in RNAcentral is "partial 16S ribosomal RNA". It matches the Rfam family "Bacterial small subunit ribosomal RNA", at positions 30 to 507 of the family's 1533-position model. The record is from RNAcentral.